GCCCGACUCAUUAAAACUUGUCAUUUCCUUAAACUCAUUUCUACAUUUGGAUUUUGGAUUAAUAUAAUUAAAACUUGUCAUUUUGUUCCCUUAACGACAUAUUCUGUAUCACAGAAAUUUUUUGACAUGUUUAAAAUCACACGUGUCGUAAUGUUUGCCCAGUAAAAAAAAAAGGUAGUGCUGUUACAGAGACAGCGAUUUAGCUUCAUUGCAAACCGUAGUGCUUCUAUAGGAAGUAAUUCCUAGCGCGUCUGCCUUGAAAGCUAAGUCAAACAAAGGAGAAACAGUAAAAUGUAUUAUAUUAUCAUGCAUCCUAUAUCCAUAUUGUUUUGCAAGUUGAUCCGCCACCUCAUUUUGUUUCUUGUAGUUGCGUUCAUUCAAAGGUUCUCUUAGUUGGUUCAGCAAUGACCUGCAACCAUGAACAAUGUCAGAACAAUGUAAGUUAUUGUCGCGGAGGAACAAUGUAAGAGAGAUACUUGGGAGCAUCGACUCUUUUAUGGAUGAUAGGGCAACAAAAACCUUUUGUUCAUUUGACUGUAUGUUUGCACUAACAUUAAUAGAGGAAGGUAUCAAAUAUUAUAAACUUCAGUACGAAGGUAGUGCUGGGUGCCACAUUUACAAUUUGAAAAAAAGCAAAGAAAAAGUGUUUCCUUGAUUCUUCCUACAAGGAUUCUAAAACUUAAAACUUCUAAACAGCAUUCGAACUAUUUGCAAGAUUUUCGUUACACCCAAAACAGAAAAAGAAAAUAUCAUUCAUCCAUCCCCCAAUUUAAUACGAACUUCUGCUUUGAAAGGUCAAUAGACCUAUGACUGUUCUCCAUACCUCCAUAAUUAUUUCAUUUUUCAUUUAGUGAACUUGAAUUAUGUUUGCUUUAAGUUUUUUAUGCCCAAGCCCCCUUCCAUUUCACUAGAUUAAAACACCUCUUAUCUCUAUCUCCUUGCCAUAUAAAGUUCCUUAUUAAAGCAUCAGUCUUCUUUUCAAUUUUUACUGGUAUAUUUGGCAGAUAGCUUGAUUAGUUAACAAUGUACUUGACUCAUUAACCAUCAAUAUUUCAUGUUGCAUCCAUUAUCUAUCUACCACAAAUAAAAGUGAUUUGAUGAGUGUCUUAUCAGUUUGUCCACCAUUUUUUUGAGUCUCUAGAUACCAGCUUAGAGUACCAGAAAUUAUGCCCUAAAGGACAUGUGUGGGAGCUGUCAUUAGCGUGAAAAUAGUCGUAGGAAUUGUUUCCCACAACAAUGAGUUUACACCAAGGAGAACGAAACGAGCCCCUACGUGUUUACCCUAGUCUAGACAAGUUAGCAAAUACAGUACAAGAUGAAGUCCCAUGAUGUAUGCUAUUUGCUAAUGAUUUGUGUUAAUUGACAAAUCUAGCAAGGGUGUCAACCAAAAGCUUGACUUAUGGAGAAAAACGUUAGAAAGUAAGGGUUUUGGGAUAAGUAGAAGUAACAGAAUGAAAUUACAAAUGAAGGUGUUACUCGUUAAAAUCAGAUGGUUGAAAUGAAGAAGUGCUAUCAAGUGAAAUGUGAUAGAAGGAUGCCUACCAAAUUGAAAGUUAAAAAGUAUAUAGAACAACUAUAAGACUUACAAUGUUAUAUGGUGGUUGAAUGUUGGGUCGCUAAAGAUACAAUCCAAGUUCACUUGAGAUGGUUUGAACAUGUUUUACAAAUGCACUAAUUCGUUGGUGUGAAACAAUAGUAAGUGAAAGUGUUGAAAAGAGAUGGGCAAAUCUAAAAUGACAUGGAAGAAAGUCUCGAAAGACCUAUAAAUGCAUGGUGUUAAUGCAGACUUAGCUAACAAUUAGGCAUAAUAGAAGAAAAAGAUCUAUAGAGGUGAUAAGCUACUAGUUGAGAAUAGAUUUUAGACUUGUUAGAUAAAUUCUAAUAUUAUUAUUAUUAUUAUCAUUAUAUAUCCAUAAACAGCCUCUUAGGGAACUUUCACAAAAAUAAAUUAUUGCAUGUACCCAACAUCCCAAAACAGGGGUAACCCAAUACUGUCCUCCAGUUGUACUGAAAGAAGUCUGAAAUAGCAAAUCACCCAAGAAAUUUGCUGCUCCAACCGUUUCGUGCAGCAAUCUUGAUUGCCAGCAUGUCCAUUCUUGUCUAAACAUAUUUGCUCUAUCAUCAUCUCAUGAAGCAUUUCUCAUUUAGUCAUUACCUACUGAUGGCUAACAACUUGCUAUUGUUGACGUGUCAUUGUUGUUGUUAGGAUUAUUUUAUCUAGUACCAUUCUACAACUAAACAAUUGUUUUUAACUUUAUGGGAGAAGAGAGAGGGCAAGAAAAGUUUGACCCAAGAAAUUGGAUGCCUCUUUGGUUUUUAUCAUAUUCAAUAAUCGGAUCCCAAUACUAACCUUAUUUACCCCAACCACCUACUGCUAGUUCCUUAACUCGCAGCAAGCGUUAUGCAUCUUUUCUCUAGUAUGCAUUUAUGUUAUACUAGUCAUGUUUAAGAAAUUCUCUUCUUUAUCUGUUUUUUUUUUUUUUUGAGUGAGGUGGGUAGGUUGAAGGUAUUCCAAGGAGUCUUAUUUUGAAAACUAAGACGGGUCAACAGAAUGGAGUUUGGAUAAACAAUACGAUUUAGUAAGGGAAAACUUGAACAUUGGACCAUAAUGCAUGGCUACAUGCAUUUGGGUUUUCAUCCUGAAAUAUCCCCUUGUUAUUCUUUGUCUGAAGUCAGGUUGUAUGUUUCAACAUUCAAUAACUAGUAUAGAAUUGAGAAGCAACAUAGACAAUGCCUACAGAAAUAACGUGUGAUGAAGAUAACACACUUAGAUAUAUUCAUUAGAGCAUGUUCACCAUAUCUCUCUUGUUUUGCUUUAAUAUUAAGCAUGAAGGCAACAGCCACAACUAAUGAGUAUUUCAUACCUUGAUGAUUGGUACAUGAAAGUAGAGUAAAAGGAGCAAAACAGACUUCAGUGACAUACCUUAAAGACAGUACCAUUCACUUUGUAAAGGUUUUGUGCGCUAUCACUCCCAAGUCCAUUCAACUGACAAACACAGAAAAAGGAAUCAAAUACCAGAAUUGCAGCCAUCAGAUUAAUAAGAGGCUGCAAAAGAUAUUACCUGCGUUGUUCAAUUUAUGUCCUUUCUUAUAAGUAGAUAAUAAAGACACUUCUGAAUAUAUUUACUUUGACAGCAUGAAGUCGGUGAUUGAAAGAUACAACAAAACAAAGGAGGAGAAUCAUCAAUUGGCAACUCCAACUUCUGAGGUUAGGGUAAGUUUCACUGGUUAAUUUGCAGUCAACUAAUCAAAGAAAAAUAUGCAUAGCUAAGCUUUCUAUCAUAACCACUUCAUGUCGUUGGACAUAAUCUAGGCAAUAUCAAGGGACUUGUUGAGUAAUUGAGGCAUAGAAUUAACAACCUAAAAUCUCAGGUUCAAGGCCUUCUAUAACACAUAAUAUACACAUAUCUACUCAACCAUGGUGAGCUGAUUUCUGGACAUCUGUAAGGUAGGCUGCAGCAAGCUUUUUGGUGAGAUAGUCAAGGUGCGAGCAAAUUGAUCCAGACACCACUAUAAUAAGUAAAAAUUCUGUUCAAAGUUAACAGAAUAAUUAAAUGGUAGAGAAUAUUUUUAGUGAUUAUAUUAUAGAUGAAAGUUAAGAGGAUCAUUAAGAAUUAUAUGGAAAAUAUUCUUAGUGAUUAUAUGAUAAAUAUAGGAAACCAUAGAAACAAAAAGACUUCCCUCAUACAAGCAGCCCUCUUGAUAUUACCAACCAGUGCCAACAAGAAUAUCUUUUCAUCUUCUUCUCCUACUUAUUGGGCGUAUUAGGCUUCUAGGAAAUUUGUAGAAACCUAAGUGAAUAUAUAUUUGGAGAUUUUAUUACUCAUCUCUUUCUGAUUGAUCAUUCUAGGAAGUACCAUUCUUACUUCCAGCGAUCAUUUAGGCAGCACUAUGCUUUUUCAGGAGCCAUAACUCUUUCCAGAGAACAUUUGAGGCACCACACUGAUGUAUUUCAGGCAACCAUCUAUUCCUAGAGAUUUGUGUCACCAUAUCACUUCUCCCUAAAUUAGAAAAAAACAUUUCCCUAUGGGCUGUAAGGACACUUCUUUGGCUACAUCGACAACAGUCUGUGAGAAAGAAUAAGACCUUUUACGGCGAAUGUCACUAUUCCAGCAACUCAUUUCAGAUGACUGUCAAUUAUUCUGGUGAGUUCUAAUACAGUGCAAGGUGGCAUGUAAUCCUAACAUUGUUUUUGAUAAGUAGAAUUUAUUCAUAGAAACAGCAACAAUCAAGUAUUAAACCUGUAACAGAAGUUUGACUCAACUCCUAUCCAAGAUACAAGGAGUCUAUAUGAAGUCCAAAAGUGUUAUCAAGAUAAUUUUUACUGAGAAUUAUUCUAAAGGUUUAUACUAUAGUCUAGAGAACUAUUAAUUACUAUGUCAAAAUUGAAAUCCUCAAUGAGUAUGGUUCCUUAGUCCAUAGAAACUCCUAAGAGUCUAGUGUUUUCCUAACAAUAAAAGCUUAGUUAGGGUUCCUUACAUGAAUUAUGGUGUACUUCUGUGUAUACGACUUUGUGAAAAGGAUUUAAAAGAUAUUAGCACCUAUGAUGAAGGGAAAUAGAAUUUCGGAAACAGCCGUUCUACCUCUGGGCUCGGAGGUAGAGGUCAGGGCUGUGUUCACUCUACCCUCCCCAGAUCCCACUCCGUGGGACUAUAUUGGGUAUGCUGUUGAUGUUGUUGGAAUGUCAGUCAUAGGGUGGAGAAUCUUAUAAUAAGAGGGCUAGUGACUAGUCAAGUCAAAAACCUAGUUUGAUCUACAUGACUGGUUAUAUGGGUAGCCGAAUGGUAAUAAAAUAUUAACUAUAAAGGAAAACAACAAAAACGCUAGAAAGAGUCAAAAUGAAUAUUGAUAAUAUAUCUGUGAAUUUACACUAUUCCGAUUUAAUUAAUUCUAUUUAUACCAUGUGAGUCCUCCAGUUUUACCACUUCUAAGUUUCUAUGUGAUCUGGUUAGAUUGCAUGAGCCUGGUCCUAAGUUUGUAGUAUCCUACCACUCAGAUUGCUAUUUUGACAGUUUAGGAAAAGAAUAAAAUGCACAUUAAAGUACGUUGCUUUUGUUCUCACCAGAAAAGUGGAAAGAGAAAAAUGAAUUUUCAUCCCUUGAUAAAUCAGAUAACUUAUCCACCUUCACUUCCUUGGCUCAUUUGGUACAACGAUUCCUCAUUGCCCUGCCUUUCUGCCAUACUCAACACUUGUCUGUCCAAAUGGUCGGUCUAGCCAUAUGUUGGGUCAAAACUGAAAAUAGAAGAAGUGAGGGAAUGAUCUUAAAGGUUUCAUAUUAUCACCAACUCUACUGGAAAGGUCAAACUGUGUUUCCAAGGGAAAUAGAAUUAGGAGACGGAAGCAGGGUAACAGGGACAAAAGCGAAGAGACAAAACAGAAUCCUGCAAGAAGCAAAAGAUUCUUAUAGUUAACAGUUAGUUGUACAGCUGAAGAUGCUGGAAUGGAGGCUAAAGUUUGAAAACCAAUAUUUAAGAUGGAAGGAAGAUGCUUUAUGAGAAAAUAGAAACAUUCAUCCAAACUGGUGUCUUAUAAACCACGGGCAAUCCAAUACAUUGACAGAGAACAGGAGCUAAGUAUUCCAUUAUUACUGAUCUGGCAUGAAAUGCUAUCCAUUGAAAAUGUAACAAAACUUCACCUUUUCAAGAUUUAACUGGAGAGACGUCACAUAAGAAUAGAUCAGGGACUAUGGCUUUAAUUUGUCUAGCAAUCACAGCAUAGCUCAAGAUAGAACUGUCUUAUAGUUCACACUACACAAUUACUUUGAAGCAUUUUGUAUCAUAUCAAGCAAAAACAUCUUCAGCUAAACAAUUUUCAUAUAACCCCUACAGUCUGCAUAUUAACGCGAAAAAAGAUUCUACACAGACACAGCCUGAUUUCCUGCAAGAGCAAUUAAAGAAAGGGUUUUCAUGCUCUUGAGAGGGGUACAUGAUUGGAAAAACAAAACCACGUGCUACCUUUUUACUGACGAUCACCAUUAUCAACUUCAAGGAUUUAGUAGUCUGCCUAAUCCAGCUGUACUUGAAAAAUUGGCCAUCUUUUAAAUUACCUUUACAGUGUAAAGGUUCUAUUGUGGGAAAAGUUCUAGUAAGACAGGGACUUCAAAGGCUGCUUAUCCUCCAGCCCCCUUCUAACUAGUGUCAAAAUCUUAAAACAAAAUCUUCUGAAUCUUAAUCAUUUGAGCCAUGCCAAUUCAACAAGGAGAUUCAAUUUGUGGUAGAGGUAGUAAUGAUUUCUUUCCGGUGAAGCCCAUUUCUUGAAAAUCGUCUGCUAGGGCACACUAUCUGUUGUCAAAUAUCUACCAAGAUGACAGCUGGUGUUAACCUACACCUUGAUCAUUCCUAUGUUCACAUAUAAGUUCAGGUACAGCAAGGAGCUUUUGGAUAUGGUAUUGGAAGAUAAUUCCUGGUAGAUUGAUCAUGGAAGCAGCACUUGACCCCUUUUAAUAAUAAGACUGGAUAGACCACCCUAAUUUAAGACAUAACUAAGAAUUCUGCUCGGGGGUUAAUACUGCCAUCAUGACAUAUUGCACUCAUUUUCAUAGCACACUCUUCCAAUGGUACACAAAUCCAGGAACAGAAAAUCUCGUCUAGAGCUGCUUUACGAUCUUCAAGUGGGGUAACUAUGACGCAGCUGUAAUUUUAUUUUUUUUGUACAACUGUAAUUAAUCAUUUACAGAACAUCAAAUUUAAUUACUCCUUACUGUACCAGACAUCAUAGUUUAUGACCAUCAACUUCAAGGCCUCCAAAACAACAAUAGCUUAUAAUUUUAUCCCUGAUAGCAUAUUGUCGAACAAAAUUGUUAAUGGUAGGAAGCAACAAAUAUAAAAACGACGCCUUGUGGCAAUCUCAAGGAAGUAACUCUAAAUUGAAGUUACACAAUCUUAAGGGUACAUAUGGAUCUAAUUCCCAGACCACAAGGAGGGGGACGGCUCAAUUUAAAUCUAAGUAGCACCCAUUACAUCUAGGCUUGGUUUCCUAUUGAUUUCACAGCUAGUUUUAUCAAGCAUGCAGAAAUAUCCAUUAGUUUCUCCUAUGAUAAUCCAAAACCAUGUAUUAAAAUAUAAUUUCCUGUUAGCAGUUUUGGCAAAGGGAAGCGGCAAUGCUGAGGCAACAACUACAGAACUUGCAAGAGAAUCACCGGUAAACUCUCUUGUCAUAUGUUAGAUAUAUUUCUUACUUCCACAAAUAACUUAUUCAAUGAUCUAUAGCACAAACACAGGGACUCUUGUCUCCAUUGUAAGUUUUAAGACAUUAAAGUAAAAAUUACUCCCUUCAUUCACUUUUACUUGUCACAUUUGGAAUUAGCACACCCAAUAAGAAAACAAUAAUUGACAUGGCUAUUUUACCACACUACCCUAUUAAUUGAUGUUUAGUAUUAAGUGUUGAAAAAUGAUCUGGGAAUAUGUAAUCAAUGCUAAGGGGAAGACAUGGAAAAAAUUUAUUGUCUUUUCUUGAUAUGUUAAAGGUGAAGAGUAAAAGUAGGUUUGGGGGUUUCACAUGAAUCCCUAUUAAUUGAUGUUUAGUAUUAGGUCUUGGAAAUGGUGUUAUCCACUUUAAUGUUGAGGGACUAGGAAUUAGAGAUUUUAGAAUGUUCAUAAACUCUACCAGGAAAGUUGGUUUGGGGUUUCACAUGGAACUCAACCGUUGUGGGCAUCGACAAGUAUGCUAUUAAAUGGGAUAAUGAGGACCAAUCAUAUUGAGCAUCUCUUUAGAGGAUAUUGGGAAAAUGUGGAGAGAUCCUAUCUAAGUGAAAAUUUAUAUAUACUUUUUUGAAAACUACCCAUCAAAGCGACAAAUUUAAAAGGGGAGAGGGGUUUUGUUGUGUGUGUGUGUGGGAGGGGGGGAGGGGGGCUAGGCUAUUGAAACUAGAAUCAAUGUCUUGAAAUAGAGAGGGUAGAGUCGUUGAUUGUGUUAAGUUUUCUGAUCAUUUUUAAUACUUUCAACCAACAGAUAUUAACAGUUGUCGACAAUUUUUUUAUUUUCUGAAAUGGUAACAUAAUAAUUGUCCACAAUUAUAGAGAAUGGGGGAGAAUUUUAUAGGACCUAUUGCUUGGAUCACCAUACAUGCAAAGAAAAUACAGAAAUACUCCCAAUUCACAUUAUUUUGUAGUUAUUACUACUCGUUUCUGUAUUUUCUUUUUUCAAACUACUUGGAAAUGCUUUGUUUUAAGCGGAGGGUCUAUCGGAAACAGUCUCUCUAGCUCUAACGAGGUAGGAGUAAGGUCUGGUUACACUCUACCCUCCCUAGACCUCAAAUGUGGGAUUACAUUGGGCAUGUUGUUUUUGUUGUUCUUUCUUUAGGUAGGAAUUUUCCCAUAACAUUAGUAUACGUUGAUUUCAUCAACAAUGUUCCUAGGCAAAAUAAAAUAUCUCCUCCAUUGCACUACUUAAAAUAUUUAACUAUUGUGAUCUUUUGGAUCGAUGGUGUUAUUUCUUUUUAUUUUUUGGGGGUUGGGGGGAAUAAAGGUAAUAUUUGAGGGUUUUACUUUUCUGUCUUUAAAUGGAUGGAGUGAGGAAAUAGAGAAAUGUGUAUUAAUUGACACUAAUUCCCGUGAUAGCUAUUUUGUUCAUAAUCCUGAGCUUUCUUUUGACACUACAGAAGUUCCGUUAAAACAUGUCCUGUUUUUCUUCGUUUCACUCGCUUUUUGACAGAACAUUUUGUUAACGAACUUAACUCUCCUUUCUCUGCUUCUCCCUUCCUGUCCCUCAAAACCCUUGAAGAACAAAAAAAAUUGAAUGUACCUCCUCUUCUCUCCUCUCAUUUCUAUCUGUCUUUCAAUUCUAUAGCUCUAUCAGAACCCAACACCCACACCCCAGUUUUCUUUUUCUAUGUUCAGUGGGCAGUAGAAAGAGAGAAAAGGAUAGUUCUAGUAGUGAUACAAAAGGUGUCUCAUCAAGGAUGCCGUUUGGAAUGUUCCUUCAAUAUCUUCAACAGUAUAGGCAUCCUAAGCCAACCACAAGAAAAUGCAUGAAACUAAGAACUAAACUAUCACCACCUUGCUGGAAAAAAGCAAGUGACACUAGAUAGCUUGUAACAUCAGUUCACAAAAUAGAAUAUGACAGAGAUAUCUGCUCUAGGUUAUCCUUAAAAAGAUUAUAUCUGUAAGUGCUGACAGAAAGGAUACUCAGAUUAUUUCAAGCUACUGGUUUUACAAUCAAAAGGAAGAGGCACUCAGGACCAUGGUUGUAACCCUUCAGAUCAGGGUUUUGAAGGAUCAAACAACAUUCGGUCUCUCUUAUGAAUUAAAGUAUUAGCAUGGACUUCUAGGGUGUGUCUGGUAUGGAGGAAAACAUUUUCUAGUAGAAGUGGCUUCUUGUUUAUUUUCUUGUGUUCGGUAUGCAAGUAAAAAUUUAUAAUCCUAAAAGUAUUUCUAUAUAUAUCUAAGACAAAACUAUGACUCUAUGAGGGUGGGGGUGGAGGAAUUCAGGGGUGGGCUGGGUGGUUGUGAGGAGACAAUGUGAUUUGUUUUACCUACUUUCAUUAGGAAAGUUAUUUUCCAUAUUAUUUUUAUUAUGACAAGGGAAAGCCGCAGUCGUUACCCUUUGGGCGCGCACAGGGUAAAACCCCCGCUCCUAUGCAAUAGCUCGCAAACCACAUAGGAGAGGUAACCCGCACUAGGCAAGCCCGGUGCGAUGAGCUCGAUCUAGAAGGCAAACCCCUUGCUUUCGCUGGCAAGGGGUUUCGAACUUGAGACCUCCAACAUGGAAGUCCUAAGCCCAAACCACUGGCCAACCCCAAAGGGUCAUUUUCCAUAUUUUCAAGGAGAUUGUUUUCCUAAAGAAAAUAUUUCUCAAAAUUUUUGGUCAACUGAACUGCAGUGAAUCAUGCAAUUCACUGGAGGAUUCUGUAAAGAUGUCUUCACUAUAUAAUCCCAGCAAGCAACUCAAUGUUGGGGAGUGAAAAUUCAAUAAUAAGCACACCUCAAAUGGUGUUAUAGAUUUCUUCCAGAGCUCCAUCAAACUGUUUAACAUCAACCCCCACCCACACCCANNNNNNNNNNNNNNNNNNNNNNNNNNNNNNNNNNNNNNNNNNNNNNNNNNNNNNNNNNNNNNNNNNNNNNNNNNNNNNNNNNNNNNNNNNNNNNNNNNNNNNNNNNNNNNNNNNNNNNNNNNNNNNNNNNNNNNNNNNNNNNNNNNNNNNNNNNNNNNNNNNNNNNNNNNNNNNNNNNNNNNNNNNNNNNNNNNNNNNNNNNNNNNNNNNNNNNNNNNNNNNNNNNNNNNNNNNNNNNNNNNNNNNNNNNNNNNNNNNNNNNNNNNNNNNNNNNNNNNNNNNNNNNNNNNNNNNNNNNNNNNNNNNNNNNNNNNNNNNNNNNNNNNNNNNNNNNNNNNNNNNNNNNNNNNNNNNNNNNNNNNNNNNNNNNNNNNNNNNNNNNNNNNNNNNNNNNNNNNNNNNNNNNNNNNNNNNNNNNNNNNNNNNNNNNNNNNNNNNNNNNNNNNNNNNNNNNNNNNNNNNNNNNNNNNNNNNNNNNNNNNNNNNNNNNNNNNNNNNCACCCCCCCCCCCCCCCCCCCCCCAAGAAACGAGAAGUCACAGUUGUUUAAAACAGGAUGUAUAAGUCACAUACAGUCAACUGUCAAUUUCUCUGUUGGAAUCACAUGUUUCUUAACAGUUUAUUUCUGCAAUAUAGACAAAUGAUGGGUGAAGAGCUUUCUGGUCUGAGCGUCAAAGAUUUGCAGAACUUGGAGAACCAACUGGAAACGAGUCUCCAUGGUGUUCGUGUAAGAAAGGUAUGAAAUUUCCAGAUCCAACAAAUGUUCACUAUAUUAAUUAAAUAAAAACUAACUCUACCCCCACAUGUCUACAGGACGAAAUUCUGAUUGAUGAGAUACAAGAACUAAACCGAAAGGUCAAUCAACAUAAAAUGCAGAGACUCUUAUCAAUUUAUUCUAAUCUAAAAAGUAUAACUUCUCAAGAUACUAAAUUAAUAUUUUUCCUUGCAGGGAAACCUCAUUCAUCAGGAAAACAUGGACCUAUAUAAGAAGGUAAACCUAAUUCGUCAAGAAAAUAUGAAAUUGUGUAAGAAGGUAUCAAUGUACAUCACUAAAAGCUUUCACAUGCUUCAAGAUCAAUUAUUUCCUUUUGUUUUCUUAUACCAAGUGAAAGAGUCAACCAUUCUUCUUAGAACUCUGGCAAAUUGUUUCUACAUUGUGUUAAACUACAGGUUUAUGGAAAUAGAGAUGCAAAUGGAGUGAGCAGAAGUCCCCUUGUUGCGAACAGUUUAAGCAUCAAUGAGGACCUUCAUGCUCCUGUUCAUCUCCAGCUUAGCCAGCCACAGCAACAGAACUAUGAGGCAUCGGGAACUACCGAAUUGGGGUAAUUUCUUGCUCAUAUGCUUCAUCUGGAAGCACAAUGGUAAUUCACUAACCUGAUCAUUGACUAUCGUCUUACUGGAAAAUGCUGCAGGCUACAACUGCAUUCGCAGUGAAAACCAGCCUCGUAAGAGUUUUCUGUUCUCAUGUUGAAGAAGCAGCUGUGCUUACAGAGCUAUGUUUUAACUUUUAAUGGUAGUAAUGAUAUAGAACCCAGAGAUGUCAGGAAAAAAUCUUCAGUUCACAAGGUUUAUGACAUCAAGUUUGACAAGUGUGAGGUAAUCCUUAGCACAACUACUUAAAGUAAGAUAACAACAAAUAAAGGAAUACAUUGGCACAGUAUCUCUACAUAUCUUUAUCUUUCUUCGCACUUCAUGCUUAUGAUGUGUAUGCCCUGUAUACUAGGAUUGUACUUGAUGACGUUUUCAAAUAGCUAUAAAUAGUUGACUACUUAAAACAGGGGUGGGAGCAAAGAAAUGCAAUCAGAAAAAGGAUAUACAUAACAGUAACUCCUCAAAGAAAUUCCUUGAGAAACACACCACAAGCAAACAGUACAAAGCAGAGCUAAGAAACUUAAUAAAGUAAGCCAUACCGCAUUGUUGCAUCAAUAUGCUUUGCGUGCAAUAGUCUUUAGCAAGGGACAGAUUAAAUUCAUUUCACACCAGUGUCGAACUUCAAAUUCAAGUGCUAAACAAAAAAGAUACAACAAGCAUUUGUAUUAGUAAUGCUCUUCCCAGAAAUUUUAGAAUGGAUGAUCAAAUAAUAUAUGAAGCAACAACAACAACAAUAUACCUAGUGCAAUCCCACAGGUGAGGUCCGGGUCGGUAGACUGUACGCAGACGUUAUCUCUAUCUCAUGGAGGUAGAGAGGCUGUUUCCAAAAGACACUCGCGCUCAAGUAACAGAUAAUAUAUGGAGCAUGCUCCACAAACAGUCUUUUCUGCCGAAGACAGUAAGUACUUCUUAAACAAGCUAUUUCUGGAUCACAAGGAUUCCAAUGGUAAACCUACACGAAUGCAUGCACUAUCAACAACCAAAUUUUCUAUACUACAGAAGACAGACUCUCAUCAAAUGACCUAUUUGUACAGCAAUGGAUUGCAUACUAAAUUAACAUGGAAGAAACAUGUUUAGGUCAUGAUGUGUGUGAGCAUAAAGUCCAUCGUAGGCAAAACUUCGUAUUACUUUGGAGAGUACACAUAAACAGAACAUGUCAUCUAAAAGGAGUAAAGUCUUCACCACGAAGGAUUAUUCAUCUUCUAUCAGGAGAUAGUUUACAAGAACGUAAAUGAAGGAAUAACUGUUACCAUUGACAAAAAAAGUGAAUGAAGGGCUAUUAGGUAGUGAAUAGGACUAGGACAUUAAUAAGGCAUAAACUCCAUGGAAGUUAUCAAACUUUAGUGCGUCAGGUACUAUGUAUUGACAAGGUAAAUGGAAUUUAUAAAACUAGAAAUUUGAAUCUAAUUGAACAGCAAAACUGCAAGCAUGCUAUGUUAUACUACAAAAGAAUAUGAUACCAUUAAUUUAGGAAUUCUGGAAAACUGUAAAAGAGAAGAUUUGUUUUAGAUUUUAGUGGAAUAAUCAGAGCACGAUAGAGCAUCUUCUACAAUGCCAAUACUUAAACCGAUUGGAACAUUUAUUACAACCAAUGCUCAAUAACAGCAGCAGCAGCCAUUUCAAACAGUGAGAAUACAAGACAUAAUUUAACAAUGUCCUUUGUGUCAAGAUUCUCAGUUCAAGACAAAUAGACACAAAAGAGGGGGAGAUUAGGUUCCAUUUUGACUAGCACCUGGAUAACAAUGAAGAUGAUUCUCACAUCUCCAUGUGGUGCAGUAAGGUUCUUAAAGUUGCAUGAACGAACAAAUUCUGAGGAAACUGGCCUGACUCAAGAGAAAAAAUGGAUCAUCUAGAGUUACUGCAGUAGUAUGUCUGCUAAAUAACAAUUUUCAUCAACGUAGUAAAAAGAUCAAAAAAUUUCCAAACAAGUUGGACAAGGAUAGCGUCUUCCACACAGCAAAGAUCUAUAACACCACAUUUGAGUGAGAUGACAUGGUACUCUCUCAAACACCAAAUUGUCUUUUAGCAACAUAAUAUGUCCAAUCCAAGUAAAUAAAACUACAGAAAGGUAAAUAUGCUAGUCGGCACUGUUACAACCACAGCAUUAAUAAGUUACCCUAUUGAUGGGACAGGCCUGGAAAUAGUGUUACUUAAUUUAUCUCUAAACAUCAUUUGUACUGCCUAAAGUUCCAGUUUGAGGUGUCCUUGCAAUAUAGUAUGAGGUGAUUCCAAGCUUUCUUUCCCCAUUUUUUUAAAAUUUCACAAACUCUUUUUAACUUUAUAAACGGUUUAACCUUCUACAACCAUUCCAAAAAUGUGACAUUGCUUUAAGGUAGGUGAACCAUAAACCUUUACAUGCCUACAAUACCCAAAAUCUCGAUGACUCUUGGGUGUCCCAGAUCACACACCUCUUUAUUCAAGAGUUUAUGGAAGUAUGUCUGCCAUCUACACCUAAUAAGAGUCCCAUCCACCAAUACCGUGUCAUCCUCAUCUUUGAUGCACUUCACUUGCUCCAAGUCACAAGUCUUCUCCUCUCUCACCUUGGUUGUCGUGUACAACUGCUUGUCCCAGCCUAUGUCCCCAAGUUCUUCAUACAGACGUCCAAAACCCCUGCAGUCUUUGCUGCCUUAACUGCUAAUUUCACCUCCUUCCUCACUUUCUUAUACUCCUCCUUGUUCAUCCUCUUCUCCUCAUUGUCUUUUCUUUCUACUAUCUUCACAUAUGCUGCUUUCUUGGCGUCCACUUUUCCUUGGACCUCUUCAUUCCACCACCAAUCCUCUUUUGUGUCCACUGGAGUAACCCUUCAAGAUCUCUAGCACCGCUCUAGCUGCUCCCUUAAUGUAAGUCACAGUCAUCGACCACAUGCUACUCGUGUCCCCACUGCUCCUCCAGGUCCCCAUUGCUAUCAACAUCUCCACAACUCCUAAGUAUUAUCCUAAGUCAACGCACCCCACUUGAUCUGCCUUGAUCUUUGGGUGACCAUACACGACACUUUUCUCCUCUUCCUCGUUAUUACGAUGUCUAUCAUAACCAUCUUAUUUUGCUUAUAAGUCAUAUUCACAGUUAAGUCAUGUGAAUCUAUUGUAUAAACAAUAUGGUAACAAGUCAACUUUAUUGCAUUAACAAGACUAACUAUAACUGAAUUAUAUCAGUAACAGAAGUAUCAAAUUUGUUUCUUUUAUCCCUCUGAACCUAAAACUUCCUCUGACACAUUAACAAAAGGGUCCUCUAAACCUAAUACUUACUCUGUCACAUUUACCUAAGGGGAUACUAUUACUUUUUGGGGAGUCAGAGGUUUUUCUUUUACGACAAGCUUUUAUAAAAAAUUACUAAAUAUUUUGAUCUAUUAAUUUUUGUGACCAACCGCACUUGUUUCACAAUUUUCACUAUGUAAAAUUUAUGUCAAAUUCUUGAUGAAUCUAUGUCUAAAUCCACACUGAAAAUUAGGUAUUUUGACCCUCAUACUAUAAAGCAGAGGAAGUGUUAUACAAUAUAUAAGAUCACUUGGAACUUCUAUGAUGCACUUUACAAGGAUGUGAUUAAAUGAAUGCACUAAAGCUUUCCAUCACAUCCAGAACUAUCUGUGGAAUGGAAACUGGACUAGCUCAACUAGGACCAACUGAUCCGUCAUUUACCAAAACGCUAACAUAGCUCACUAGCCACCAAAUCUAUGAGGUAGAAAUCCAUCUCAAAAUGAGACUAGGUUUAACACAACAAAAACAAAGUAUUAUUGAAAUCUUGAAACUCACCAGUUGCAUAAACAACUGAAUUUUCUAUUUGCCAACCAUUAUCUAAUUUUAUAAAAACAAGAGUCUCAAUAACUUAUGGUUUAUGGUUUUUAAAGAUGAGGAAUAUUUAUAUGUUCCAAUAAUUAAUAUUUUACAGGUUACUUUAAGUUAUGUCUUACGUUAUUAUUAAUCUACAACCAUUUCAUUUGACCAACAGCCAAAUCAAAUUUCAAGUAAGACUUUAUAUUUUUUUGACUUUAAUGAGAAAAAUUGUUCUUUUCUUAAUGUUUCAAAUUAUUACUAAUUAUUUUCAAUAAUAUCUCAAGCAACAAAUUAUAAGAACAUUCUGCCCUAACCUUCACAAAAGUAAACCUAGGUCAGUAACCAAAAUAGGAGGCAACAUAAGAAAGUAUUUUGGUAGAAGCAGUUACUGUAAUGUGAUAACUUUCAAGCGAAAGGUUGCUAGUGAGCUAAAGACAAAUACAGCAAAUAUAGAAUGAUCACUUAAACUUUAAAAUUCAUCAAGCUGAGAGAUAUAAGCUUCAUGAUUAAUCCUUCUUGUUCCAAAAAUAAAGCUUUGAGGAGUUAUCCAUGUGUGUACAGUGUCAUAUCAGUCCAUACACUAACAAGUAUUUUGAAAUUACAGGUGAACAACAGUUUGAACCUGUGCGUGGUAGAUUCAUAAAUCACUGUCUUAAUCCAUAUGGCUACAUCCACUCCCUCACCUUCUUAAGUUCCACUUUUACAGAUUUAAAUUGGAAACAAAAUAUUCAAGUCAAAUAUCUAUCAUCUUUCUUAUUUCAAUGAUGUUCUUAUUCAAAAUUAUGAUUAAAAUAUAAAGUAAAAAUAACCAAAAAAAGAAAAUAUAGCAGCAAGAAGAGGUAAAAUCAAAAUACAUUACUCAUAAGCUAAUCUUUUCUCCUUUUCAGAAAAACAAAUGCGCCCACUCAGGCUUUGGGGAGGGUAGAAUGUACGCAGACCUAACAACUAUCUCGUGGAGGUAGAGAGGUAAUUUCCGAAAGACUCACAGCUCAAGUGCAACAAAUCUAGGUACAAAUAAGACACAGACAAUGACAACAAAAAUAGUACGACAGUUGAAAUAUCAAAACAAGAACUACAAUAAUACUAGUAUAAGAAUACUAGUUGGUAAAAUAUCUUUUCUUUCCUAAGCAAUAUAUAAGAUCCAAUACAGUGUACAACGAUCAUCCUUCAAUCCUACAACUCUUUAUUCUAUCCCUCAAUAUGGACAAUUCCCUAAACUUUAAUCUUAAAAGCAUAUGCCUAAACUAAAGGAAUCAUUUACGCAAGAUGAAUUUUCAUUUCUCUCGAAAAAAAUCCUCAAUUUAUGUUAGUACAAUGCUGAAAUACAAAAGAAGUAGAUUAGGUAGCCAAUCCAUUUCACGCAGUAAAUUGCUUGUAAUAUGAUCACUAAACAAUUUUAGAGGGACAAAGCUAGUUAACAAUAAUAUAUUCCAGAGAAAUGUGUAACAGUUAACAUGAUGUUACAAGAUUUCAAUUAGGUCGCCAAGUGGUAUUUCAGUUCAACUUCUACUGUAGGCCAUUAAACUGGUAAAUCAAUCAUUUUCUUGCUGAUAAUGUGAUAGCUAUCUGUAUUUUACAUGAUGUUGUAUAGAUCACUUAAGAUCAAAAAUACAAAAUGAUAACAAAAGUAACAGGAGGUAAUCAUAACACAGUUCGCGGGAGAAGCCAUAAGAUGUACAGCAGCACUAAGAUUAUAUCACACAGAUAGAAAGCAUAUUUGACCUCUAAUAUACACAAUUACAUAAAGUAAAUGCUAUAUGUAUUCCGUCAUACUAUUCUAUGAACUACUAUGAUAAAUUGGUGCCGAAAAAGAAAAAAUGCAAAAGAAACAAACAGAAGAAAAGUGUACAUGCAAUAACAAAUCUGAAGCCAGCACAGAUUUCACCGAGAAACAUUAAAGUAAUUUUCUUUAACUCAAGUACAGAAGCAAAAUUGUUUGCCAACAGUACUUCAAAGUGUAACAUCAAAUCCAAGACAAUAUGCUUCCUAGUAAAGAAAAGAAUCGUGAAGAAAAGAAACUCCAAUAACUCGCAAGGAAAGAUUUGUGAACCAGAAAAAAAAAAAAACUAAGAAAAUACGAAACUAAAUGAAACGUAUAUUUAAUUAAGUAUGAAGAGAACAACAUUACGCACCUGAAAAACGAAGCAACGGCAUUUCCACAAUGCUGUGAGUGUAAUUGCAUACCACAUCUAUUAUAAACUUGUGAUCAGGAAAAAGUUCUGCAAGGGAAUUGAAAAAGGCAAAACAAAAAAUGAUUCCGAUCAGCAAGCUGCGAGAUAAAAUAUUCAAUAAAGAAUAAAAGGAAACGUAUCGGAAAACGCAGUUAGUUUAGAAGCAAAGGUGAAAAUUGAGUUUAGCUUUCAACAAAGAUAAGCAUAUGAUAUUAAAUAUUAUUUUUUCUUCUUUCUCAGGAACCAAAAAGAAAAAAACUGUGAAUUGAACCACCGCCAUGAGAGGAAAGAACAAACAUUGCGAGUUCAUCCUGGAGUGAUCGAUCGAAAAGUUUAUCGGACAAUUCGAGGAGAAGAUGAAGAAAGAAUUGAAAGAAGAGAAUUCGAUUUGUGUUCGAAACAGUAGGUUUCACAUAGAAUAGAGAGAGGAAAUGAAUAGAGACGGGAAAAACAAUAUAUGCGUGAGCUGUGAAGGAUAAAAAGGACGGGGAAAUUGGGAUGAGAAACCCGAAGCAGAGUGGGGCAGGGGGUUGAGAAAAUUCUGGGGACUGCUGCUGUUUCCUGGUGGCGCCCCAAUGGUGAUUAUUUUAUGGCGUUAUUAUAUGCUUUUCUGGGGACUUCUUGUUUUAUAUAUUGUUACCAUCAGGUGAGUAAUUUUUAAAGCAUUUUCUACCUGCAAUCCCAUGUAUUCUCUUACCAUUACCAAAAUAUUUUGCUUGUUAGAACUUUUUAUUAAUUAAUUUAAUUAAAAUAAUACUUUCUCUGUUCAUUUUAUUUGUCAUUUUUUACUUUUGCAAAAAUCAAAUAGUAUGGAGUUUGGCCAACACGUUAUACAUGUUUUUUCAUUAUUAUAUUAGUAAUAUGAGAGGAAUCGUAACUUUUAAUUAUUAUUUUUAUAGUUUUUGAAUAUUUUAAUUUUUAAAUUAAAUUAUUGAAUUAAUUUAGUGCAAUAUAUCUUCAAAGAUUAGUCAUAUUGAGCUCGGAACAUGAUAAGUAAAAAUGAAUAGAGACAAUAUUUAUUUGAAAAUGAUUUAUAAUUAUUACUUUUAAUAUUAACGACAAAUUUGUAACUAUGUAAGUGUACUAUGUAACAAUUAUAUAUAGCCAGCGUAAUUCUACAAUUGAGAUCUUGGAAAAGUGGUAGAUAUGUAAUCUUACUCCUACUUUUGAUGAAAGAAUGUUUUUGACAGACCUUGGCUAAUUAUUCAAUAUUGUAUUUAAUACAUAUCUUGAAUACUUAGAGAUAAAUGAUAAUGUUUUUUUAUAUAAAAUAUAUAUUUCAAAUAUUAACGUUUUUUUUUAAUCAACUUUUAUUUUAAGAUUUAACUUUUGUAACUAUACUUUAGCAACCAACAUUGUAAAAAAAUGAUUGUGAAAGUUUUUCAAUGGCUUAAUAGUAUUUUUGGUCCUUCGGUUAUGGAGUAAAAUUCUAAUCAUAGUCCUUGUAUGAUUAGAAUAGCUGCUAUGAUUUAUGCUUUGGAUUAUUCCAUAAACAAAACUUUAUUUAGGUAUUAAGGAAGGAGCACAAUACUCAAUCGUCUAAUAUGCGAAUUGGAGUGAGUGGUAAUAAAGAUAGAUGGUUUAAUAAGUUAACAUUUUUAAAGAAGUUGAAUUCUUCUAUUCUUUUGGUUGAAUCGAAUUUUAACCUAACCAACAGGCCUUUAAAGCCUGACGAGAAUAAAAUUAAAAGAACAAAGAUUGAUUAUAUCAGUUUCAAUAAAUUUUUAGUUUUUAUUAAAUGAAUCAUAAAGAGAGUUCAUUAGUAUCGUGUAGAUAUACACAAUAGUUGCAUCAUUCUUUUUAUUUUUGCUUAUUGUCUUCUCUUGAAGAUGUCAAUAAAGCCUUUGAAAAGACAUUUGUUUUCUCAUAUAAGAAGCUAACCCCUUAGCGAGAAAAUACUAUAGCUCAAGUUUCAACUAUAAAAAAUCUUUGCUAAAAUCAAUGACUGCUUACUUAUUUACAUGUUUGGAAGGUUAGAGCAUUAUGUCUAUCCUUACUUUGUCCUUCUAUGAAGGCUAUUCUUUUUGGAUUUAUUUAUAGUCAUGUUGGGUGGAAGGUAUGUGUAGAAGCAUGACUAUAAAACGACAAUUCUCCUAUUUUCGUUAAAGUAGCGAAGGUCUCCUCUCCCAUAACACUAGCAUAUUAUUGAUAAAGACUUCAUUAAUGUUUAUGAUAGCUUCAUUACCAAGCCUUCCACUUGGACAGCUAGACACAAGAAAAAAAGUGAGGAAGAAACAAAGUUGCUUCUCCCUUGUAGUUGUACUAUUCGACUUAUAGCUACUUUGAUUUCAAAAUAAAAUAGUACAUAAAUAAGUCAAAGACAAAUAAGAUAGAACCUAAAGAAAAAUAAAAAUAAAAAUAGACAUAGACAUAUGGAGAAAGGAGUUCGGAACCUAAAUAAGCCACAAAAAGAUAAAAGUGACUAAAAUAAGCCACUAUUCUAGUAAGUAACUAAAAUAGGCUUAGUGGAAUAAAAAUUCCGUUUUAUGCAAUAUUUUAAACGUUUUCCGUUAGUCUAAUAACGUGUAUAUUUUAAUAUAUAACAAAACUAUUUUUUACACCUUGUAAAACAUAACUAUUUCUUACACUUUGUAAAGUAGAAGUUUUUCUUACAAUUUAUAAAGUGGAAGAAAAAAAAUUGUUUUACAAAGAGGAAUAUUUUUCACGUUCUCUUUAUGAAGCUUUUGCAGUGUUUGUCAUACAAUUAUAUUAAUUUGGCAUAUCGUUAAAACGGAAAAAUUGUUACGUUAUGUAUUUUUAUUCUGAAAACUCCUCCAAGCUCUAUUUAAGGACGUUCAAACAUAGUACCUUCAUCAUCUUUAGUCUUCUAUUUUUCUUCAUUUGAAUCACAAAAAAAAUGUCUUCUAAACCAAAAGUUAGAGUUUCGAUUUAUUGGGAUGGUGAAAUUAUACAUGACGAAAAUAUCGUUUAUUAUAAUUGUCUUUUCAAACACAAUGCUAAAUAUUUAAUUAAUGUCUGAUAUCAUAAAUUUCUUUCAUCAAUUUAUAAAAGAAUGGGNNNNNNNNNNNNNNNNNNNNNNNNNNNNNNNNNNNNNNNNNNNNNNNNNNNNNNNNNNNNNNNNNNNNNNNNNNNNNNNNNNNNNNNNNNNNNNNNNNNNNNNNNNNNNNNNNNNNNNNNNNNNNNNNNNNNNNNNNNNNNNNNNNNNNNNNNNNNNNNNNNNNNNNNNNNNNNNNNNNNNNNNNNNNNNNNNNNNNNNNNNNNNNNNNNNNNNNNNNNNNNNNNNNNNNNNNNNNNNNNNNNNNNNNNNNNNNNNNNNNNNNNNNNNNNNNNNNNNNNNNNNNNNNNNNNNNNNNNNNNNNNNNNNNNNNGUCAAAUCAAUAUAAUUGUAUGACAAACACUGCAAAAGCUUCAUAAAGAGAUACAAUUUAAUGCAAAACGUGAAAAAUAUUCCUCUUUGUAAAACAUAAUUUUUUCUUCCACUUUAUAAAGUGUAAGAAAAACUCCCACUUUACAAAGUGUAAGUUUUAAAACUUACACUUUAUAAAAAGUAAGAAAUAGUUCUAUUAUAUAUUAAAAUAUACCCGUUAUGAGACUAACGGAAAACGUUUUGGAGUAUUUUACAAAACAUAUUUUUUCUUCCACUUUAUAAAGUGUAAGUUUUAAAAACUUACACUUUAUAAAAAGUAAGAAAUAGUUCUAUUAUAUAUUAAAAUAUACCCGUUAUGAGACUAACGGAAAACGUUUGGAGUAUUUUACAAAACAUAUUUUUUUCUUCCACUAAGCAUAUUUUAAUUACUUACUAGAAUAGUGGCUUAUUUUGGCACUUUUAUCUUUUUGUGGCUUAUUUAGGUUUCGAACUCUGGAGAAAGAGGGGGAAAAGGGGAAUCACGAACAAGAAUCUAAAUAGAUAAGAUGGCUAAGGUCGAUCUUGGAUAAGAGAGUCAUUUACCUUGUUUGUAAGGUAUUAUUAUACUAAUUCAAAUAAUUCUCAUAGGUAAUCUUUGCCUCAUUUCUUGCUUCUUCUUUUUGAAUUUGUGCUUAUGUCUUUUUACUUCGCUUGAUUUUCAAAUCAGUAGACUCCAUGUUUUGUUUUUUUGGCCUUAUUAGCUUGACUUCAUAAGUGAACAUAAAAUUUGAAUUGAAUAGAUAGGCGGAAAAUGUCUUUCAUAAUUCAAGUAGUAAGCUUACUAUCACUUUAGUUGAAUCUAUUAUAGGGUAGGCUUUUUGAAUAAGUCAUAUUAAGAUGUAUUAAGAUGAUGAAGACCCACAUUGCUAGGUCAAAGAGUGAAAAUAUCUACUUUCCUCGAGGAAAAAUGAAAUACUUAAUUGAGGAGGUGAACCAGGCCAAGAGGUUAACUUGCUCAGUUGCAUAAAGUUGUAUGAAUUUAUUGCGAGGGAUUUAGGUGUUUUAGGCCAACCAUCUUCCAGUUUUAGGAUAAUCAAUGCUAUAUAAUGCUUACUGUGGGGGCAAACCUUAACCUUAAUGUGUAGAAUAUCAUUUAAAAAAAUUCUCCCCUUCUUUCACUAUACUUUUUCGCUCUUGAACUACUUGAACAGGAAGGCCAAGGAGCGUUAUCGUAUAUAAGAAGAAUUGUUGCAUUUGACAAUAAUAAGCUCUCACUCACUCUAACUAAAAUUUGAUAAGAGAAGUCUGAAAGGAUUUCAUGCUAUAUUCAAUGUAUGUAAAUGUCCUCUCCACUUUCAAGAUCAGUUGAGUCAUAAAAGUACUUAUUAAAAGUAUAAAGGAUCAAGUAGCUAGAAUUAUUUGUCCAUUCUAGGUUCAUAAGUUCUACCAUUAGAGGGACUAGUUGUCAUUCUCCCAUAACUUAAGUUGUUUAAGGACAAGAUUCAAAUUUGGUUGAGGUAAUUGGUAUGUUUUGAAAGAAAUAAAAGAUGAGUUGUAACUCAUCUAGUAAGCAAUGGGUGUUGCAAAAGCCCUGGCUAGCUCCAUUCAAAGCUCAAAAGAUUAAAGUUUCACUUUAUGCCCCCUAGUGAUGGACUUGGUUAAAUUGGAAAUAUUAAAUCGUGACAUUUUGUGUCACUUCUUCAUUCAUUUCUUUUACAACCCACAAAAAUUUCAAAUAUCCUUUAGCUCAUAUUUAUUUUUUUGAUGACAAAAUAUCCUUUAGCUCAUAUUUUCUCGUCUACUUUCUAAUUUUCAUAGCUUACUUCCAAACCAUUUCGAACACGAGAAAUUGAGAGAUCUUUAUCAGUCCUUACUUGAAUCUCCAAUGACAAAAUAACAAGACAAUCAGAAGCAACAAGCAAUCAUGAUUGAAGCACGACUCUAGUCAAUAAGCUAGCAAUGAACAUAGCUACGACAAAGCACUUAAUAAGAGUGAAGAAAAAGUCUUCUCCACUUGAGUCUUAUGCAGGGGACUCGCACAUUCGAUUCUUAAGAAGAAGGGCCAGUAGGAGUCAUCUCAUCUCAAUAGCUUAAAUUUAGAGCUUAAUAUGAAUAUUUUUUUUGGUAAAAUCUAUUCGAAAAGUGAUAAUUUCAAAGAUUGCUUUUUGAAAUAAGAUACUUUCUUUGACUCUUUGUUGGUCCUCCAAGGACUAGUGAAAGAAAAAAGGGAUCAAAAUAUCCCAACUAUGAGGACUUUUCACACUGCUAGUUAUAUUCAAGUUCUAAAUUUUCUUUUUAUUUUCUAUUGUGAAAAGAUAAGGAAAAGUCGAAUGUCCAUAUGAGGACCAAUUUUUUUGUGGGUAACACAUGUGAAAUAUUACCAUAACAAGCAAAAGAGUACAAUCUAAAGAGCAUCUAGUGUUCCUCAACCACAUUCUAAGGAGGGUGUCUUAAAACCACUAGAUCUCCAGAAAACUAGUUACAAAUUAGUUGUGUAUAAAACUAUGACAUUUAUAUGCUUUCCCUGACCCCUAUAACAUAUAUAUCAUUUCCUUCAGUUCCUUUUGUAUAUGUGCAUUAACAAAUUCACCAUUUACAUUCUGAUGAUUAAAAAUUCUCUUGUUCCUAGCUAUCUAGGUGUAGAAGACCAAUGCACCCCAGGCUGCUGCGAUAACUUCCUUUUGAAACUGCUUCCACCUUUUCUUUUUGAUCCAUUUAAUUGUUUCGUAAACUCCUCUGGAUGAUAAUUGAACCCCUAGGCAUGUACACAUAAGGAUUUUCACAGCAGUAAUCCACUUACACUAAGUAAAUAAGUGAUGGUGUGUCUCCAACACACUCUCAUCACACAAACAAUAUAGGCGAAAAAAUAGUUUUAAAUUAUAAACCUCGUAUCUGAUUUUGUAAUUAAUGUAAGAACGAAGUUUGUCUAAUGAUAUAAUUGAGUUUUAUGUAUCUAUCUUUUUUCAUUCUUUUUGUGCCUAUGAAGAGGCUCACCUUAUAUCUCCAACAAGUGGUAUUAGAGUGUUGGUUCAAUCUUAAAAGGUGUAAACUUGAAGGUUUUGACAAUCUCCAUUGAAGGUGUGUUUCGGGGUUUGAGGACUUGUUAAGAGACUGACUAUUUGCAAAGAAAAGAGUGAAUUUCUUUGGAUUUGUAAAGAAAGAGCAACUUAUCGAAAUGGUGUCUUAAAAAUUUCACAAGAUGAAAAAGAAGACGUGAGAAGUCUUCCAUGAAAUUGUGUUUGCAAUAUCUAGAAGUUAUAAUAAGGAUAUGGAGAAUGAAUUGCCUAUAUUAUUGAGGGAUGCACACAAAGAUGUUGAAAAUAAAAGUCCAAUUGAUACUGUAUCAGGUUGAAUUCUCAAGCACUACUAUUUGUCUUUCAAACUAGGAAUGUUUUGAUUUAUCUCUAACAUGCAUAGACAGUUACUGAAGAAGCAACAAGUUACUAUAGACUAGUAUUGAUUACUAGAUGUAUCAACAACACAUGCGCAAAAAAUCAUAUUACAAAACUAAAGAAUCGUUUGGUAGGAUGUAUUACGGAAAGUAAUACAUGUAUAAGUAUUAAUUUUAUCUUGUUUGAUAGUAUUUUUAACAUAUAUAUAAAUAUUUUUAGAAAUAAGUAUUUCUAAAAAUGAACUGACAGGUAUAAUUUUCUUGUUUACUGUCAGUGGAGAGAAGUUAAUCUCUAUUGAUAUUAGUAAUAUAUCCGAGUUACAAAUACAUGAACCAAUAUGGAUAAAGACAAAAUUAUCUUUCCUCACCAUUACUAAUACACCUCAUUAUGUACUAUUUUUAUAUAUCCUACUAAACGAUCCCUACGAUUAAACCGCACAGGCACCUAAAGCUAGUUUUUAUCGUACUCUAAUAAACUCAUGCCAUAAAACACACUACAUAACUUAUACAUUAUUGAGUUGAUCCUAUAAGAAAAUAUGGAUCCCCCACAACUUCGACUAAGCAAAAAUAUAAUUACAGUAAUAAAUAGGGAUGGGCAUAAAUAUCGGAAAAUCGAAAAACCGAACCAAACUAUUUUGGUUCUUCGGUGUCUGUUUUUUUGGUCGAAACUUCGGUUCUUCGAUUCGGAGUUCGGUGUAAGGGUCUCGAAACUACGGUGCACCGAAGAACCGAAGUUUUAUUUUUAAAUUUAUUUAAUAAAACUUAUAUAUUUUGACUCAAAAUAUUUACCUGGCCCAUUUCAAUUUUUAAAUUUUGGAGCCUAAACAAAAAAGUAAAGGGCACCCAGCCUAAACAAAACUAUUUUGAUGUUAUUACUUUUUAUUGUUAGACUGUUAGUUGUUACUUUGAAGUUUGAAAUUUGAAUUGUUAAUUUAUCAUAUUCCCUUUUUAUUUUUAUUUUUAUUCACACCAAAAAACCAAUUUAAAAACACCGAACUAAACCGAACCAAAGUAGAAAAAAUCGAACCGAACCGAUCUAGUUUAAUUUGAAAUACGAUGCACACUUUUCUAAAACCGAAUACAGAAGAACCGAACCGAAAUUUGAUUAAAUCGAACCGAACUCCCACCCCUAGUAAUAAAUACUUGAAAAGUAAAAUAUAAGAUGCUUCUAGUCUUCACCAGUAUAACUAUAACGCACCUGAGAAAAUAAGCGACGGUUUUUCCACAAUGCUGAGUCGUGAUUAGAUGCCUUGUCUUCCAAAAACUUUUGAUCUGAAAAUUCCAGAUGAAAAAGCAAUUAAAGUAUGAUCACGAUAUACAAGUUGUAAUAAACUACUUGAGGGAAGAAAAUAAAAUAUGACGCAAAAUUAUCGAAAACCAAAAUCCGUACAGAAGAAAAGGUGAAAAUUGCCUUUGGCUGUCGAAAAAAAACCCUGAAAAUUAAGCUAAAAUGGAAAAGUAUACGACACAAACAGCGAAUCGGUGUCUGAAUCAACGCCAUUAAAAACGCGAGAACAAGCACUGAUGAGAAGAAAACCUUUAGCAAACAGCAUCGGAAAAAAUUGAUCGUACAAUUCGAUUCGAAGAAGAUCGGAGAGAUGAACGAACUACCGAAGAAAAGUGAGUGAUUAUUGUGGUAUUUGAUGCAAAAAUGGAGAUGAGAGACAUGAAUACGUACCUGUAACACGAGUUCGAUUCUAGAAAUGGAAGGAGAGAUAGAAAGAGAGAGAGGGAAGCGGAAUGGUGUAGAGAGAG
Molecule: long non-coding RNA, 25756 nt
Filed under: Solanum tuberosum (potato)
Lineage: Eukaryota; Viridiplantae; Streptophyta; Magnoliopsida; Solanales; Solanaceae
Description: long non-coding RNA (STUB_LNC005169)
Source: RNAcentral